Molecule: long non-coding RNA, 957 nt
Filed under: Oryctolagus cuniculus (rabbit)
Lineage: Eukaryota; Metazoa; Chordata; Mammalia; Lagomorpha; Leporidae
Description: lncRNA (ENSOCUG00000037523.1)
Source: RNAcentral
UGUCACUUGUUCAUAGUAUUUGGGGAAUAAAAUAUUUGGAUCCUUGUGGAGUAAAUCUGUCUACUGAAACAUUGGGUACCUUGCUGCCAUUAUUGUUACUAAGAGUUAAAUGCCUGAUUUAUUUUGUUCUGAUUCAAAAUAUUCUAUAUGUAUGCAUUUUGAAAAGACUUAUUUGAAAUAAAACCUACAUUCGGAGAGAAAUAGAUGCCUUUGGAGUUAGCUGUCUCUCACUCUGACUUGAGUUUUGCUCAGCAAUGACAUAUCAAUCUGCUGUAAGAAGACAUUCAUCAUAUAAGCCCCAUAUACAUUGUUGUGUAUUGUGAAUAUGUUUCAAAUAUUGCUUUGCAGUACAGAGGUUUGCAAUAUCAAAUUCAGUUUACUCCUCUUAAAACAAAUCCAUACUUAAAAAACCACAUACUUCUGUGUGACUAGCCAACUUCAUGCUUACCCUUUAAAAUGUCUAAUAAUUUUUCAGUAUGAAGCCUUUUGAAAAGUAUUUUGGAAGAGUAAAAGAAGCUAUUUUAGCUAGUCACCUUUGUAAUGAUUCAUGUUCAUUAACUUACAAGGGAGAAGAGGGAUCAGAAACUUAGAAAGAGUGUCCACAUUGAACCCCACAUGCUUGCCUCUGAAGUCAAGAAAAGACCUACUGUGUUUUCCAGAGCAGAAGGCGCAGUAUCUGCUUCAAACCCGGCUCACACUGAGGAUGAACAACCUGGGUUACCUGGAUUACAAGAGAAAAGGAGGCUGCAUAAACGUCUUCCUGAGUCUCAUUUUCUGGGAAGAGUCACCAGGCAGCAAUGAGAAGAUUUCUCCUGGAUAACAGCAGGGAUGCUCUAAGUGGAGCUCCAUAUCACCAGCUCAUGGUUCAUAAGAGGCAAUCAAGAAAUCAGGGCAGCUUCCAUGCCCUAGGUCCAUUUUCCUUAGGAGGGCUUCUUUCCUGUAAGUAUGAAGCAGUAU